This 497-nucleotide ribosomal RNA is filed under the name uncultured bacterium. RNAcentral's name for it is "partial 16S ribosomal RNA". It matches the Rfam family "Bacterial small subunit ribosomal RNA", at positions 28 to 507 of the family's 1533-position model. The record is from RNAcentral.
GAUGAACGCUGGCGGCGUGCCUAAUACAUGCAAGUCGAACGAACAGAUAAGGAGCUUGCUCCUUUGGCAUUAGCGGCGGACGGGUGAGUAACACGUGGGUAACCUACCUAUAAGACUGGGAUAACUUUGGGAAACCGUAGCUAAUACCGGAUAACAUUUGGAAUCGCAUUGUUCUAAAGUAAAAGAUGCUUUUGCUCUCACUUAUAGAUGACCCCGCGCCGUAUUAGCAGGUUGGUAAGGUAACGGCUUACCAAGGCAACGAUACUUAGCGGACCUGAGAGGGGGAUCGGCCACAUGGUAUCUGGGAAACGGUCACGACUCCUACGGGAGGAAGCAGUCGGGAAUCUUACGCAAGGGAGGAAUGCCUAACGUAGCACAGCCGGUGGAGGGAUGAAGGGUUUCGGCCGGUAAAACUCUGUUAUUCGGAAAGAAGAAACGUUUAAGUAACUGUGCACAUCUUGACGGUACCUAAUCAGAAAGCCACGGCUAACUACGUG